RNAcentral lists this unclassified non-coding RNA (391 nucleotides) under Neolitsea cambodiana var. glabra. Its description in RNAcentral is "partial external transcribed spacer". Lineage: Eukaryota; Viridiplantae; Streptophyta; Magnoliopsida; Laurales; Lauraceae. The record is from RNAcentral.
GCAACAGUGAAGAACAAGUAUCCUCUUCCCCGGAUAGACGAGCUCUUCGACCAGCUUCAGGGUGCCCAGUACUUUUCGAAGGUGGACCUGAGAUCGGGNUAUCANCAGCUGCGAGUCAAAGAGCAGGAUGUGCAAAAAACGGCGUUUCGCACUCGUUACGGGCAUUAUGAGUUCCUUGUGAUGCCGUUCGGGUUGACAAACGCCCCAGCAGUGUUCAUGGCUUUGAUGAACAAGAUCUUCGCCCCGUACCUCGACAGNUUCACAGGGGUCUUCAUCGACGAUGUUUUGGUCUACUCCAAGNCCANAGAGGAGCACGAGCAGCAUUUGAGGACGUNUUUNCAGUUGUUGCGCGACAACCAGUUGUACGCAAAGCUCAGCAAGUGCGAGUUCU